AAACAUACGCUGUUUUCUAAGACUUAAGCCAUGCAGGUGCUACACUACAUACGUGAAUUCGUGAGACUGCGGAAGGCUCAGUAAAUCAGUUAUCAUCUAUUUGAUUGUCUAGCCCAUUGGAUAACCGUGGGAAAUCUAGAGCUAAUACAUGUAGUUAAUUGGUGGUGUAGUAUUUAUAUUGUACCACCAAUGCAUUUAUUAGAUGAAGCCAACUGCUUGUUGGGGGUGCAAAUCUCCAACUUGUAAGGUGAGUCUAGAUAACUGUGCAGAUCGUAUGGCCUUGUGCUGACGACGUUUCAAUUGAAUUUCUGCCCUAUCAACUAGUUGGUAAGGUAGUAGUCAACCAAGGUUGUGACGGGUAACGGGGAAUCAGGGUUCGAUUCCGGAGAGGGAGCUUGAGAAUUGGCUACCACAUCCAAGGAAGGCAGCAGGCGCGCAAAUUACCCAAUUCAGACAGUGAGAGGUGGUGACGAGAAUUACCAAGUGGUGACCAUAAGGUUGCCAAUUUGGAAUGAACGUAAUUUAAGAAAUUCGAUGAGUAACAACUGGAGGGCAAGUCCGGUGCCAGCAGCCGCGUAAUUCCGGCUCCAGUAGCGUAUUUUAAAAUUGUUGCGCUUAAAACNCUCGUAGUUGGAUGACACAGUCAUGAUCAGUUGAUUGUCAUGGUUAUACAUUAAACUUUGACUCUCUACUGUAGAUGUCUAACGACGUAUAUGUGUUGAGUUGAAAGUAUAACUAUGGCAAUUGUGUGCUGAAUGUGACUAGUUGCACGUGAGGAUGAUGGUUGACCUUUAGUGCGUUGACUGUUAUGUCUCACGGAGGUUGCCUUGAAUAAAUCAGAGUGCUCAAAGCAGGCUUUAAGCUUGAAUGUUAAUAGCAUGGAACGAACAAACGUGUUUAUGUAUAAUAUAAUUGAUUUUGAUUUGUCUAUGAUAGAUUAUUGUUGUUUUUGUGUUGUACUGCACCAACCACCAAUAACGGACGUUGGUUCCGUAUUGGGGUGAUGAUUAAAAAGAGCGGUUGGGGGCAUUGGUAUUUGUCCGCGAGAGGUGAAAUUCUUGGACCGGACAAGGACUAACAAAUGCGAAGGCAUUUGCCUAGACCGUCUCUAUUAAUCAAGAACGAUAGAGGAAGGAUNCGAAGAGGAUCAGAUACCCUCGUAGUUUCCUCCGUUAAACUCACUGCGCAACCCGGGAUGAGUUUAGAGCUAAUUAUAACGCUCUAGGUUGGUCCCCCUGNGAGAUACCUGAAGUUUUUCGGUUGCGGGGGGAGUAUGGGGUUGCAAAGCUGAAACUUAAAGGAAUUGACGGAAGGGCACCACCAGGAGUGGAGUGCGGCUUAAUUUGACUCAACACGGGAAAACUUACUCGGUUCGGACAUUGACAGGAUAAACAGUUUGAUAGNACUUUUUUGAUACGGUGAAUGGUGGUGCAUGGCCGUUUUUAGUUCGUGGAGUAAUCUGUCAGGCUAACCCCGGUAACGAACGAGAUCAGCGUCUCCAUUUGGGGUGUACAAGAAAUGUAUCGGUAGUGCUGCAUUGUUUCGACAGUGUCACAUUUAUUGAUAGUUAUAGGCUGUGUGAGUGUGCUGUUGUUGAUGGUUGUACCAAUUGGUUUACUAGUUGGUGUGGCUUAAAGUGGCUGCUUAGCUUGCACUCCCUUGUACCAAACAGUAUACAGUGUAAACUGUAUGCUGUCUCAUGGAGAGACGGGUGGAUAUAAUCAAACCACAGGACGGCUGGCAAAAACAGGUCUGUUAUGCCCUUAGAUAUCCGAGGCGGCACGCGCGCUACAAUGAUAACGACAGCAGAGUUUCUAGGUUGAAAGACCUGGGUAAUCUUUGAAUCGUUAUCGUGAUGAGGAUUGACGGUUGUAAUUUUCCGUCAUGAAAUAGGAAUUCCUCGUAUGUGUACGUCAUUAGCGUGUACAGAAUAAGUCCCUGCCCUUUGUA
This 1950-nucleotide ribosomal RNA is filed under the name Henneguya salminicola. RNAcentral's name for it is "SSU rRNA". It matches the Rfam family "Eukaryotic small subunit ribosomal RNA", at positions 21 to 1664 of the family's 1831-position model. Lineage: Eukaryota; Metazoa; Cnidaria; Myxozoa; Bivalvulida; Myxobolidae. The record is from RNAcentral.